GACUGUGGAAAGAAUGCCUCUCCCCCAUGUGACAUAUGGUUCUGGCAAUGUCUUUUCUCCAGAGAUGUAGGCUUUCAUUAUGGAGAAGACUCUGGGCACAUUUCACAGUUUUUACUCUUCCUCUGUGCCUGCCAGAGGCAUGAGUGUAUCUUUCUCAAAUAUUCAGUGUGAAAACCUGAUGAGAUUCCAGAAGAUAAAGACUUCAAUUUCUAGAAGUUUCUCCAUCUCAUGGUAGUCCACCCUGACCUCCAGCAAUUCAUAUAAAAUGACCGGUUUGUUUCUAUUCUGAUUUCCCUGAUAAGAGCUAGAAACUGGUGCUUAUCCACAUCCCUCCUUUUUGACUUCAAUUUUGGAUCUUGUCAAAGUCCGGAGAUAAAAUCAAGGUGAAAAAUAGGUGAAUAGAGUCUUUUUUCCUCUGAAAAGCAACGAAACCAUACCAGUCAGGGCUUACCAUCCAAGUAUGCCAACACAUCACCGCGGCAAACCCAGAUUCGUUGUCCAGGUCAGGUGUGAAGUGGGUCCAAGACUGGAGAGCAAUGGCUGCAACCCCAAGUCACUUUUGUGAGAAGUCCAUGGAACACCCAAGUGCACAUGGGGAAAGGCCCCAUGAAGGAAAAGAGCAGAUGAAGGAGGAUGCCCACAGUUCCUCUGGAAGCCAACUGUCCCGAUGAGAAUAUGAAAAUUGCUAGUGGAGUCAUCUACUUGGACCUUUCUGUAUUACUUUCAUAAUCUGCAUUGGAAGCUGAUGAAAUAACCUGCUGGCACUGAUAACCUGAUUUGGCAACAGCCCUCCCUUUUUCUAAAACAGAUACUUCCAUUUUAGAAAUGUUAAAACACAUUCAGCUGCUUCUGUGUCACAGAUGCUCAGAGGAAGAAGAGAAAGCAAGUGUCCUGCUGUGUGCUUGUGCUCAUUCUCGACAUCUGCAGACCCAGCUGAGAGCACCUGCAUUAUUAGCUUUAAGGCUUGGAGACACCUAUAAACUAAAAGGCAGAGUGUCGUCAAUUUCAAAGUGAAAGUACCCUUUGGAGAGCCAUAGUGUUUGUGUGUUUGUAACAUGCAUAUUAAAGUCCCCAUAACGUAGGGCCAAACGCUGCGAUGUGAUUCAGGGGCUGCAUUACAGUUGCACGUUUACGGUUGUGAGAACGUUAAAGAACCUGUGAAAUCCCCACCUUCACCUUAUUUUCCUAUUCAGAAGAUACAAGAAUGGUGCCUGAAAAUGAAAGGCCAACAAUACUCAGACUAUGAAUACAGAAAACGUGUGGCUAUGUUCUUCGCAGCGAUGACUCCAGAAGAAAUUGCGGGCUCUGAUAUGGAAAUAUGACAUUUUUUCUAAACAAAUGCUAACGAAGGAGAGAAUACAGUUAAUACCAUGUUAAGUCCCUGUAAAGCAUCACUUCUCUACAAAGCAAAGUUACUGAGACAGACUCAAAGAGCAAAUGAUUUUCCUGAACGUUUAUAUUUUCAAUAUGCACAUAUGCAAAGCUGUGGGAGAACAGAUGGAAAAAUAAUUGAACAUAUAUGACAGUGGAUUACCGUAUAGAUUACAUCUGAAUGUAUUACAGAUCAAUGAGGAAAAAUAAACAUAAUCAUAAAAAUAGUCAAUGGACACAAAUGCAAAUCCACCAAAAUACUUAUCUGUCCUAUGAAAAAUAUCCAAUCUUCUUAAGAAAUUGUAAACUAGGGGCACCUGGGUGGCUUAGUCGGUUAAGCGUCCGACUUUCCCUUAGAUCAUGAUGUC
Hyaena hyaena (striped hyena) is the source of this 1739-nucleotide long non-coding RNA. RefSeq lists it as uncharacterized. Lineage: Eukaryota; Metazoa; Chordata; Mammalia; Carnivora; Hyaenidae. The record is from RefSeq and is a predicted model, not a curated record. The transcript has 5 exons.